This 465-nucleotide ribosomal RNA is filed under the name uncultured bacterium. RNAcentral describes it as "partial 16S ribosomal RNA". It matches the Rfam family "Bacterial small subunit ribosomal RNA", at positions 28 to 507 of the family's 1533-position model. The record is from RNAcentral.
GACGAACGCUGGCGGCGUGCUUAACACAUGCAAGUCGAACGGUAAGGCCCCAGCUUGCUGGGGUACACGAGUGGCGAACGGGUGAGUAACACGUGGGUGACCUGCCCUGCACUGCGGGAUAAGCCUGGGAAACUGGGUCUAAUACCGGAGAGGACCGCACCGUGCGGGUGAGGUGGAAAGUUUUGUCGGCGUGGGAUGGGCCCGCGGCCUAUCAGCGUGGUGGUGGGGUAAUGGCCUCCCAAGGCGGCGACGGGUAGCCGGCCUGGGAGGGUGGACGGCCACAUUGGGCCUGCGGCACGCCCCAGUCUCGUACGGGCGGCAGCAGUGGGGAAUAUUGCGCAAUGGGCGGACGCCUGAUGCAGCGACGCCGCGUGGGGGAUGACGGCCUUCGGGUUGUAAACUCCUUUCGCCAUCGCCGAAGGGUUUCUGACGGUAGCUGGAGAAGAAGCACCGGCUAACUACGUG